GAUGAACGCUGGCGGCGUGCCUAAUACAUGCAAGUCGAGCGAACAGACGAGGAGCUUGCUCCUCUGACGUUAGCGGCGGACGGGUGAGUAACACGUGGAUAACCUACCUAUAAGACUGGGAUAACUUCGGGAAACCGGAGCUAAUACCGGAUAAUAUAUUGAACCGCAUGGUUCAAUAGUGAAAGACGGUUUUGCUGUCACUUAUAGAUGGAUCCGCGCCGCAUUAGCUAGUUGGUAAGGUAACGGCUUACCAAGGCAACGAUGCGUAGCCGACCUGAGAGGGUGAUAGGCAACACUGGAAAUGAGACACGGUCCAGACUCCUACGGGAGGCAGCAGUAGGGAAUCUUCCGCAAUGGGCGAAAGCCUGACGGAGCAACGCCGCGUGAGUGAUGAAGGUCUUCGGAUCGUAAAACUCUGUUAUUAGGGAAGAACAAAUGUGUAAGUAACUAUGCACGUCUUGACGGUACCUAAUCAGAAAGCCACGGCUAACUACGUG
RNAcentral lists this ribosomal RNA (497 nucleotides) under uncultured bacterium. RNAcentral describes it as "partial 16S ribosomal RNA". It matches the Rfam family "Bacterial small subunit ribosomal RNA", at positions 28 to 507 of the family's 1533-position model. The record is from RNAcentral.